Molecule: ribosomal RNA, 482 nt
Filed under: uncultured bacterium
Lineage: Bacteria
Description: bacterial SSU rRNA
Rfam family: Bacterial small subunit ribosomal RNA
Source: RNAcentral
AUUGAACGCUGGCGGAAUGCUUUACACAUGCAAGUCGAACGGUAACAGGUCUUCGGAUGCUGACGAGUGGCGAACGGGUGAGUAAUAUAUCGGAACGUGCCCAGUCGUGGGGGAUAACGUAGCGAAAGUUACGCUAAUACCGCAUACGAUCUAUGGAUGAAAGCGGGGGAUCGCAAGACCUCGCGCGAUUGGAGCGGCCGAUAUCAGAUUAGGUAGUUGGUGAGGUAAAGGCUCACCAAGCCAACGAUCUGUAGCUGGUCUGAGAGGACGACCAGCCACACUGGAACUGAGACACGGUCCAGACUCCUACGGGAGGCAGCAGUGGGGAAUUUUGGACAAUGGACGCAAGUCUGAUCCAGCCAUUCCGCGUGCAGGACGAAGGCCUUCGGGUUGUAAACUGCUUUUGUACAGAACGAAAAGGUCUCUAUUAAUACUAGGGGCUCAUGACGGUACUGUAAGAAUAAGCACCGGCUAACUACGUG